RNAcentral lists this ribosomal RNA (279 nucleotides) under uncultured bacterium. RNAcentral's name for it is "partial 16S ribosomal RNA". It matches the Rfam family "Bacterial small subunit ribosomal RNA", at positions 506 to 784 of the family's 1533-position model. The record is from RNAcentral.
UGCCAGCAGCCGCGGUAAUACAGAGGGGGCGAGCGUUGUUCGGAAUUACUGGGCGUAAAGGGCGCGUAGGCGGCUAUGUCAGUUGGGAGUGAAAGCCCCGGGCUCAACCUGGGAACUGCUCUCAAUACUGCGUGGCUUGAGAACGGGAGAGGGUAGUGGAAUUCCCAGUGUAGAGGUGAAAUUCGUAGAUAUUGGGAAGAACACCAGUGGCGAAGGCGGCUGCCUGGCCCGUUUCUGACGCUGAGGCGCGAAAGCGUGGGGAGCAAACAGGAUUAGAUA